Small nucleolar RNA from Tripterygium wilfordii, 95 nucleotides. NCBI's taxonomy places the organism in Eukaryota, Viridiplantae, Streptophyta, Magnoliopsida, Celastrales, Celastraceae. The record is from RefSeq and is a predicted model, not a curated record.
GAUGAGGCAUUGAUGUUGAAAACUACCUAUUUUAUGAGGGAAUGAAUUCCCCUUUUGUGAUUAUAAAUCACCAAUGGAUCCUUCUGAGCCUUCAU